UUGCACAUUAGCACAUGUUCUGUGAAACAUCACCCCGCUUUCCCAAAAUAGCGGCUCUAAUGAGUUUCAUGGUUGCUGUAACAGGGCACAGGAGCUGGGAAAAGCAAUAUGGCUCACCAGGAGAUACCAAUCAUUGGGACAACAGAAACUUUCAAGGCCUAAAGAUAAAUUUCUCUGGCAAGGUGGAUCACAUGGCUUCUGUGGAAGUAUGAAAAGCAGUCAACAUGCCGUAAUCUCAACCUCUAACACAUGAUUAGAUGGAUACUGAUCUUCUAUUCUGUCCUGGUUUAGGACAAAUCUAGGAGAAAACCAGUCACCCCAGGACAUUUUCAAAACAUCAGUAUUUUACCACAUGAUAAGAAACACACUCACAUAACCAGAGAGAAAAGUGGAAUGACAAAAAUGUGACCUUGGUCCAUGACCAGGGCAAAGGCACAUGGCCAUAGCCUGUAAUGCAACUGAGAGAUCCUGAUAAUUGCAGCUACAGCAGAAACAUCCCAAGCACACAGCUCUAAACCCAAGAGCCUUUAUACCAAAGAGUCCAACAUACUGCCAUCAUAGAAGGAAAGAGUUCUUCACAUGUGAUAAUUAUACAAGAAGAAGUGUCCCAUCAAAAUACCCAGGCAGUCUCCAAAUCACUCCCUGCCUACAGCUGCAGGCCCUUUGAAGCAGCAGAUUGCUGGCCUUGAGCUGGAUGAAUUGAUUAUACAGCCUAACUUGGAUAUGACUGGCAAGACUUUAAAUUGGACAAACCUACCACAGAAGGACAAAAGUAUUGCCUGUACUAGGUAAUUUUUAAGCUCUCCCCACCACCCAAAGAAGCUCAGCAAGGUGAACUGCUGUGUUCCCAUCAAUUUCUCCCUACAAGAUCUAUUUCCAAGGAGACAGGAGCUAGGCCUAGUUACUAUAAUGGAGUCCCAGCUCUUAAGAUCUUGCCCUCUUUCUGCAUUGGGUGCACAUUUACCUUGGUAUGCAUUUGCUCAGCCUCUCACUAUCACACAUACAAUUAAAUUCAGCUUCUAAAAGUUCUACCUGUAAUUGGAACCAGCUGCAACCUUUCUGACACAUACUAAUUGCCAGUAAUGAUUUAAGUGCAGUCAAUUCACAUGCUGCAAUUGUUUUAAAUAAAGGAAUCUCUCUUACCUUUUCCCUGAGAAAA
RNAcentral lists this long non-coding RNA (1159 nucleotides) under Cyanistes caeruleus (blue tit). RNAcentral's name for it is "lncRNA (ENSCCEG00000008665.1)". Lineage: Eukaryota; Metazoa; Chordata; Aves; Passeriformes; Paridae. The record is from RNAcentral.